RNAcentral lists this ribosomal RNA (1469 nucleotides) under metagenome. RNAcentral describes it as "bacterial SSU rRNA". It matches the Rfam family "Bacterial small subunit ribosomal RNA". The record is from RNAcentral.
AGAGUUUGAUCCUGGCUCAGGACGAACGCUGGCGGCACGCUUAACACAUGCAAGUCGAACGAGAGAAGAGGAGCUUGCUUUUCUGAUCUAGUGGCGGACGGGUGAGUAACACGUGAGCAAUCUGCCCUUCAGAGGGGGAUACCGAUUGGAAACGAUCGUUAAUACCGCAUAACAUAAUUGAACCGCAUGAUUUGAUUAUCAAAGAUUUAUCGCUGAAAGAUGAGCUCGCGUCUGAUUAGCUAGUUGGUAAGGUAACGGCUUACCAAGGCGACGAUCAGUAGCCGGACUGAGAGGUUGAUCGGCCACAUUGGGACUGAGACACGGCCCAGACUCCUACGGGAGGCAGCAGUGGGGAAUAUUGCACAAUGGAGGAAACUCUGAUGCAGCGAUGCCGCGUGAGGGAAGAAGGUUUUAGGAUUGUAAACCUCUGUCUUCAGGGACGAAAAAAGACGGUACCUGAGGAGGAAGCUCCGGCUAACUACGUGCCAGCAGCCGCGGUAAUACGUAGGGAGCGAGCGUUGUCCGGAAUUACUGGGUGUAAAGGGAGCGUAGGCGGGAUCGCAAGUCAGAUGUGAAAACUAUGGGCUUAACCCAUAAACUGCAUUUGAAACUGUGGUUCUUGAGUGAAGUAGAGGUAAGCGGAAUUCCUAGUGUAGCGGUGAAAUGCGUAGAUAUUAGGAGGAACAUCAGUGGCGAAGGCGGCUUACUGGGCUUUAACUGACGCUGAGGCUCGAAAGCGUGGGGAGCAAACAGGAUUAGAUACCCUGGUAGUCCACGCCGUAAACGAUGAUUACUAGGUGUGGGGGGACUGACCCCUUCCGUGCCGCAGCAAACGCAAUAAGUAAUCCACCUGGGGAGUACGACCGCAAGGUUGAAACUCAAAGGAAUUGACGGGGGCCCGCACAAGCAGUGGAGUAUGUGGAUUAAUUCGAAGCAACGCGAAGAACCUACCAGGUCUUGACAUCGUAUGCAUAGCUCAGAGAUGAGUGAAAUCUCUUCGGAGACAUAUAGACAGGUGGUGCAUGGUUGUCGUCAGCUCGUGUCGUGAGAUGUUGGGUUAAGUCCCGCAACGAGCGCAACCCUUACUGUUAGUUGCUACGCAAGAGCACUCUAGCAGGACUGCCGUUGGCAAAACGGAGGAAGGUGGGGAUGACGUCAAAUCAUCAUGCCCCCUAUGACCUGGGCCUCACACGUACUACAAUGGCUGUCAACAGAGGGAAGCAAAGCCGCGAGGUGGAGCGAACCCCUAAAAGCAGUCUUAGUUCGGAUUGUAGGCUGCAACCCGCCUACAUGAAGUCGGAAUUGCUAGUAAUCGCAGAUCAGCAUGCUGCGGUGAUUACGUUCCCGGGCCUUGUACACACCGCCCGUCACGCCAUGGGAGUCGGUAACACCCGAAGCCUGUAGUCUAACCGCAAGGAGGACGCAGUCGAAGGUGGGAUUGAUGACUGGGGUGAAGUCGUAACAAGGUA